RNAcentral lists this ribosomal RNA (506 nucleotides) under Bacillus safensis. Its description in RNAcentral is "bacterial SSU rRNA". It matches the Rfam family "Bacterial small subunit ribosomal RNA", at positions 139 to 631 of the family's 1533-position model. The record is from RNAcentral. Lineage: Bacteria; Bacillati; Bacillota; Bacilli; Caryophanales; Bacillaceae.
AGGGAUAACUCCGGGAAACCGGAGCUAAUACCGGAUAGUUCCUUGAACCGCAUGGUUCAAGGAUGAAAGACGGUUUCGGCUGUCACUUACAGAUGGACCCGCGGCGCAUUAGCUAGUUGGUGGGGUAAUGGCUCACCAAGGCGACGAUGCGUAGCCGACCUGAGAGGGUGAUCGGCCACACUGGGACUGAGACACGGCCCAGACUCCUACGGGAGGCAGCAGUAGGGAAUCUUCCGCAAUGGACGAAAGUCUGACGGAGCAACGCCGCGUGAGUGAUGAAGGUUUUCGGAUCGUAAAGCUCUGUUGUUAGGGAAGAACAAGUGCGAGAGUAACUGCUCGCACCUUGACGGUACCUAACCAGAAAGCCACGGCUAACUACGUGCCAGCAGCCGCGGUAAUACGUAGGUGGCAAGCGUUGUCCGGAAUUAUUGGGCGUAAAGGGCUCGCAGGCGGUUUCUUAGGUCUGAUGUGAAAGCCCCCGGCUCAACCGGGGAGGGUCAUUGGAA